CUCACAGCCUGGUUCCUGGAGCUCCUAGAAGAUAAAUCGAGGGGAACUCAGGCUGCAGACUGCAAGCACAGCCCCAGCACCCCAGUGCUGUCAGGAGGGUGAGCCUGACUCUGUGAGCUCCCCACUAUUUUGUGUGGAUGGUCCUUUCUGUGCUCAUUCAGGGCCCUCAUCUUUCUCCUGGCAGGGCCUGGAUCUGGCCCUUUUGCUGGCCUGAGAAACUUUCAGAUCAAGAGUUUAUAUCCCUGAUAUGGAAGACAAGGAUAUGAAGGGACCCACAUCUGGCCCCACAUGCCCAAGGCCUCCUGGGAAAAAAGCAAUAGCUACACAAAAUGCAAUGGGGCCCACGUGUCCUGUCCUAGGGUGAGAAAAAAGCAAUAGCUACACAAAAUACAUUGGGGCCCAUGUGUCCUGGGCUGACCUGAGGCCACUUCCUUAAUCCAAGGACCUAUCUCCAGGAGACACUGGAAGAGCAAAUGAGGGGAUUCCAUCCACCCACCUUUCCCUGCACUUCCCAUGGCUGACAGAAGGUGCAGGGUGGGGUUCGGUCCUGUGUGUUUGGUGUGGCUCCCUCUGCUGAGCUGAGGACGCCCUUCAGACCCAGGUUGCUACCUCCCUGAGACCCAGGAGGCAGAAGUAAGGAGGCACUACAUGGACAACCCUGCAUGGGAUUCCCACGGCUGACAGAAGUACAAGGAUGCGCCACAUGCAGCCACAGAUCCUGGGACUUCCCAAGGCUGAGAUCUCCACUGAUCUGGAGUCCAAGGACCCCUGAGUCCUCCCUCUUCUUCUUCUCCUUGACUCCUGGCAGGGCUGUUCACCACCCCCCUGCUGACUUGAGUUUCAGUCCCUCGGAUUCCUGAGGCCAAAUGUGGAGGCCCCUCAGUCUCAGACAGUUGAUUUUGGGAGUAGAGCACAGCAGCCUGGGCUUGAUUGUCACUUUGGCAGCUACAGCAUUCACUGCAGCUGUGAACGGUAGCAGUGAAAGCAUACAUCAAUGACUUGCUCCUGACGAGAAUGGGAAUGCUUCUAACAUUUCACAUUCAAGAGAAGGAGCCUUGGAGAAUUCGUUGAAUAAUUGCCCGUAUUUUGGGAUUAUUUGGAAGAGUUAAUAUGGUGAUUCGUUUUCCCUGACCACUUGGGGGAACUGACCCACAAAACUGCCUGCCUUAGAACGGUAGAGGGUGGAUUGAGCUUUAAAUACAUUUUCAGUUUGUGGACGUACCAUUGGUUUUAUCCAUUCACCAAUUGGAAAAAGUAUUGAUUGUCAAUUUCAAAUAAGCUGCUAUAUAUGUUUUUGUGUACGUGAUUUUGUGUGUAUGAACCUGUUUCCAAUUUUCCUUGAUAAAACCUAGGAGUACAAUUGCUGUGUGUAAUGGUAAGUCUAAGUUUUGCUAUAUUAGAAAUAGCCAAAGCCCCUUCUAGAGUGAAUGUGUUCUUUUUCUUCUCUACCAGCAAUGAAAGAGAAUGCCACAUCUUUUGUACAAUUUGGUAUUUUCAGGUUGUUGCAUUGUAUCAAUUGUAACAGGUGGGUAGAAGAAUGUUACUGCUGUUUACAUUUGUAUUUUUAUUGAAUAAUUAUGGUAAUCAUCUUUUCAUAUGCUUUUUUGUGAUCUGUGUAUCUUCAUUGGUGAAGUCUUGAAAUCAUUUACUAUUUUAUUGGACUCUUCAUUUUUAUGUGGUUGCAUGUUAUAAGGUGUUUAUUCAUUCAGUAUAUGAAUCCUUUAUCCGACACGGGGUUUACAAGUAUUUUCUCCCCAUUUUUGGCUUUUUUCCCCAUUCCUUUAAGUGUUUUUUUUUUUUUAGUAAACAUUUUAGAGUAAUUUUAAAUUUACAGAAAAGUUGCGAAGACAGUUAAGAGGGUUUUCCUAUACAUCAUGUCCAGUUUCUCCUAUUAUUAACAUCAUGCAAUAAUAUGAUACAUUCUUCAUAAUUCAUAAAUCAAUAUUCACCUGCACAUUCCUGUCAUUGUUUGAGGAUCCCAUCUAGGAUACCAUGCUACUUUAGUCUAAGCUGUGAUAGUUUCUCAGACUAUUCUUGUUUUUGAUGACUUUAACAGUUUUGGGGAGUAUCGAUCAGGCUAUUUGUGGAAUUACCCUCAUUUGGUAUUUGUCUGAGUUUUUUCAUAUAUAGACUUGAGUAAUGGCUUUGGGGUAGGAGACCAGAGAGGCGAAAUGCCAUUCUCAUUACACGAUAUUUUAGCAACAUGACUCAUCGCUGUUGAUGUUGACUGAUGAACUGGCUGAGGUAGUGUUGUCAGGAUUUCCCUCUGCAAGGUUAUUACAUUCCCCCCUUUCUGUAUUGUGCUUUAUAAAAGAAAGUCACUAAGGGCAGCCAUUGGGUAGUAGGGAAGUAUGGUCCACCUUCUUGGGAAGGGGUAGUAUUGACAUGAAUGAUUUGGGAUUCUUCUCAAUGGGAGAUUUGUUUAUUCUCCCCCAUUAUUUGUAUUUAUUUAACCUUCAAUUUGUCUCGGCUGAACUCAUGGUAAUUUAUUAUAUGUUUGGGGUUAUAAUUCAACACCACUUUUAUUUUGCUGCUCAGAUUGUUCCAUCUUUGUCCAUUGGAAGCUCUUUCAGUUGGCUCUGAUGUCCCCUUCACGUAACUGAGCCAUUACAUUUGUUUGUAGCUCUGUCUUACUUUAUGGUAUGACAAGAUGAUGCAGGCUCAUUUUUAUAUUUCCUGUUCCAGUCAUAGAAGAGUCAAUUUUCCAUGGUUUCUGCUUCCUUUUAUGGGAGAAGAGUAUUGGAAUGUGAGAGGUGGGUGCUUGGCAUGCUCAUUGUUCCUGAGGAUUUGUUAUUCCUAGCCACCUCAAUUCUCAGAGUAAAGAUAUAUAUUUUGGUAUAUUAACCUGUGUAUAUACACAUAUCUAUAAUCAGAAUUCUUAAACCCAGUCCCUGUGAGAAAUAGCUUUAGAAGCCAGACAAUACUGCUUCAGUACAGUUUCUUUUAACUUCGGUCCCAGAGACUAACUUCCACAGGUACUUAGGACAGCACCAUAUCCCCAGAUACUCAUUAGAGGUUGUUUCAUAGAUUUGUAACACAGUUAUAUUGUUUUGUCAUAUUCUAUACUCCACCUUGGCAUUCCUCGACCUCCUAAUUUUUUCAAUUUUGCAUACAUUGAGGUUUACUCUUUGUGCUUUAAGGUUUUAUGCUUUUUGACAAAUGCAUAAUAUAUUCCAUUUUUUGACAGCAUGUCAUCAACCAUGACAUGACAAAAUCAAUCAUUACAGUAGCCUAGAGAAUAGUUUCACCUGUCUAAUAAAUUCCUUCUGCUUAUCCUAGUCAUACCUUUUCCCCACCCCUGAUCCCUGGCCACAACAGGUAUUUUUACUGUCGUUAUAGUCUUGUCUUUCCAGAACGUCAAAUAAAUUGCAUCAUAUACUAUGUAGUCUUUUCGGACUGGCUUCUUUUACUUAGAAUUAAGCAUUUAAGAUUUAUUCAUGUUUUUGUGUGCCUAGAUAAGUAAAUAUUUUGGUUGAUGAAUAGUGUUCUGUUGUUGUUGGACCACAGUUUGUUUAUUCAUCUGUCUCUUGAAGAACAUCUUUGUUGUUUCCAGUUUUGGCCAAUUAUUAAAUAAGCUGCCACACCCAUUCAUAUGCAGGUUUUUUUUGUGGGCAUAAAUUUGCAAAUUAGUUCAAUGUAUACCUAGGAGUGUCAAGAAUUUGUUCAGCUUUGUAAAAAAAUCAACUGACAAACCAUCUUUGAAAGUGGCUGUACUACUUUGCAUUCCCAACAGCAACAAAUGAGAGUUCCUUGUUGCCAGGAAUUGGUAUUGUCAGUAUUUGGAUUUUGGACAUUCUAAUAAGUGUGUAUCUUUGUUAUUUAAUUCAUAAUUCUCUAAUAAAGAAUGACAUUGACUAUGUUGUCUUAUGCUUAUUUUUU
This 3879-nucleotide long non-coding RNA is filed under the name Homo sapiens (human). RNAcentral's name for it is "HSALNT0287283". Lineage: Eukaryota; Metazoa; Chordata; Mammalia; Primates; Hominidae. The record is from RNAcentral.